This 4877-nucleotide long non-coding RNA is filed under the name Sus scrofa (pig). RNAcentral's name for it is "lncRNA (ENSSSCG00055027025.1)". The record is from RNAcentral. Lineage: Eukaryota; Metazoa; Chordata; Mammalia; Artiodactyla; Suidae.
CUAUUUCUUGGGCCGCACCUGAGGCAUAUGGAGAUUCCCAGGCUAGGGGUCAAAUUGGAGCUGUAGCUGCCAGCCUACGCCAGAGCCACAGCAACUCGGGACCCGAGCCGCGUCUGCAACCUAUACCACAGCUCAUGGCAACGCCGGAUCCUUAACCCACUGCGCAAGGGCAGGGACCAAACCCGCAACCUCAUGGUUCCUAGUCGGAUUCGUUAACCACUGCGCCACGAUGGGAACUCCUGGAGGAGAUUUUUUAUUUUGUCGCAUCUCUCCAUUGUCUUCAGUGGCUUUCAGCUACUGUGUCACUGAGCUGGUUGGUGUGUGUGGCAGUGAGGGGAGGGUGGGUAUAGCCCCAAGCUAAGAUCACAUCAUGGGGCCUGUGGUCAUACUAUGGUUUAACAUUUUCUCUUGGGAAGAUGAUCUUCAGUUCAUUCUGAGGCCUUGAUUAAUGGCUAAAGUUCUAAAAUAGUUUAUUUUGGUUGUUUUGUCAUAUUUUUGUUGCUUUAGAGGAAAACUGAGUUCAUAAAAGUCCUUACUUUGCAAUUCUGUUAUUUGUUCCCCAAAUUAAACUUUUCAGGUACCAAAUCUGUCCUCCCUCAGCAAGUGAACCUACAAAAACCCUGGGCCAAUGUUUGUUUUUUCUUUUUGUAAUUUCCCCAGGAAAAUAUGUUAAAUGUGUUUAAAUUUUUAUAGAAUUACAUAAAAAUACCAUUAAAAAGAAAAAACAUUUUACCUGAUUUUUGUCCAGACAAUUACUUUCACAGAGAGCCCUAAUGAUAAAGUAUGUAUAUAUUCAGUCUCAUCUUGAAGGUUAUAUAUUUAAUAAAGACAAAUUUUGCAAAGUAGAGAAGAAAUCAAGAAAUUAAAGAAAGUUUCAAGUAAGCUUUCCAUAGAGCAUCUGAUUUGAGAAAUGUGGAAGCAAUAAAAAUCUAUGACAUAGUUAUAUUUUUGCCUGGUCCUGUUUGAAGAAAAAGGCCAUCUUAAUAUUUGGAUUCUUCCUCAUGUUCAUGAAUUCUUCAUCACCCCGCUAAAGAACAGCAGUUUCUCUCCUCCAAGAUUAAACGCUAGCAAGAUGACAAUAUGAUGACUUGUGAAUCAGUAAAUCUUUCAUUCUUUCUGUUAAAAGUAUUUAUUGAGCAAAGUUCUUGGGCUUGUACUGCUUUGACUUCUGGACCUUGUACCCUGGAGGGGCUGCCCCUCCCUGGCUGCAGUGGACACCACGCCCCUCACCUGUGAGUGCACCUUUCACACUGAAACCCAUCAUCCUGAGCCCACACCCCAACCCCCUCACCUAGGGGCUCUCACAGUCUAGGCCUCCAUCCCCUGUGCUCAUCACCCCAGAGCAGGUACCCGUCAACCGGGAAAGCCCUUCUUCACCAGAGUCACUGAAAUAUUCAAAGUAGCCAACCCUAAGCCUGCUGACCUGCCUCCCGAUCCUUCCCAUGAAACCCAAGAAAGGCUCCUGGUCCUCACAGCUUGGGGUCUCCCUGUGUGGCCCCUGGGGUGUGGCCUGUCCUCUCCUCCUGGGAGCUGGAGGAACAAACUCUCUUCUCAAGGCAUCGUCUCCUGACCUGUUGACCCCAUCCCUGAAUAACACUACAACCUGCAUUGUAAAACAGGGCCUGACAUUCCAGUGAGUUUAAUGACCUGACUUCCCAACUUCAGAGCCACUGCAAUGAGCUGAGACAAUAACAGAUGUACAGCCUGUCAGAAACGUUCACGUUCGAACAAAUGUGAGGGAUUACCAUUAUCAGGACCUGUACUUUCCAAGGAUUUUGUUGUUCAAACAUUUCGUAGGCCUCGCCCACAGGGUUAACUCUGCAUGGUACAGAGAGGGACAGUGUUUCUUACGUGAACCUCCGGACCAGAUGUCUGGGUCACACAUUAAACAACCCAUUCUCAACUCCCACAGGCCAUUGAAACACAGACAGGAGGGCAGCCAUGGUUGCACCCUCCUGUGUGAAAACAGGCAGACAGAAACGAGGCACAGGCAACAUCCACAAAAAAGGCCAAUGUGUUCAGGACAUCGAAGUGGUGAACACUGUAAAGUAAAUACUUUUUUAGGUAGAAUUAACAUGCAUUCAUCUUUUGCCAACUUCAUUUAACAUUUCCCACAAAUGUAUUAAAUGCCUCUCUUACUAAGUGAGCUCUGAAACCACCACCUGCAAGUUCUACUUGCAGGUUUUGCAGAUCAUGUGUGUCCCUAACGAAGAGGCAACAAAGAUAUGAAGUGUUCAGAGCUCCGUCUUUGCCCAUGAGUGAAACACUAUACGAUGUUGCUGCUCAAGGUUCUGCCACCUCCCUCAGGCAGAGACCCAGGAGGGGAAGGGUCUUUGUUGGUCCACUGCUGCAUUCUCGGCCCCCUGCCCAUCUGUCUUUGUCAGAAAAGAGGAUGAAUUCACAAAAUGCACUCUCCCCAGGUGACACUGUGGAACUGGUAAUCUCUGUCCAAAAUUCAAAGAACAGCACAAUUCCCAAAAGAAAACCAGAAGGGCUCAGGAAUGAUCAAAAGAUCUUUCCUUGCCUUAGGACAGUGGCCUGGAAUCACAAAAAAGUAUUAAAAUUUGGUAGCACUGACUAACAUUUUGCUGGCAGUAAAGGAAUAUUUAAAAGUAGGAAACACAGUUUAAAGUUAAAUAACUCCAUCAAAACCUUCAAAAUUAUGAACUGUCACAUAUCUUUGGAGAAAACUGAAAUACUAGUUCACGGACAUUCCUAAAUAAGACCAACAGUAAGAAUCAGGGUCAAGUGUCGUGUUCUUUAAAAUAUGGUUUUUGUUCCUGAAAACUUUUUGGUAGGAGUACUUCUCUCCCCUUCAGAAGCCUUUUUAAGGAAAAAGCUAACAGGCAUCAGAGCUGGACUUCAUAGGACGUCUGUCCCUGCUUGUCACUCUUCUGAUUCUUCACAUGUUCUCGCUGUGAGGCGGAUUCACUAACGACACGAAAACCCUCCCAUUAACAACCGCAAGGCCUGUGCACCUACUUCAGUGCCUGCCAUGUGCAGUUACAUGAAUAUCCCUAUGCCUGCAUUGAAGGACAAACCAGAUAUGCAACAUAAAUCAUUUAAAUUUGUCUCUAUUUUAUCCAUAUUCAACAUGUCCCAGUGGCAUAUAUAGUAUUGAUUUUUGGAAAAUAUUUCACUAUUAUUAAAAUGAAUGAGCAACAGAGUAACAUGAAGAAUUAGUCUCUAAAGAAAAUGACACAACUCUUUUUCUGUUGAAGUGAAUAAAGAAAUUUGAAAUAACAGCAACUAAUUGCCCUCUUGUCCUCCACCUGCCCAAAUAAAAAGGAUUCUUUGAGAGAGGGCUGCACGUUGGGCUGUUGCAGUUGACCAGUCACGCAGUUCGCACACUGGGCACCCUCCCCUUCCUGCCCACUGGGAAACUUCUAAUCAAGCAUCCUACAUUACCUCCGACCUACAAGUUCAAAGCCUGUCUUUGGAAAGCUCUGGCUGAAGGCAUGGACGCUCAGGCCCCCUAAGCAGCCACAGUAUUGAGAGUCUGUACAGGGGAGAUUUAGUGAAUGUGCUUUUAAACAUCCACCAUUAAGAGAGCUUCUUGGAACUUGAGAUAAUGCAGUGGCACCUCCAUGGGCACCUAUGGAAUUUGUCAUUCUUAGAAAAGAAAAAACUGUAUUGAUGAUUCUUGAAGAUAUGUGAUUUCUUAUCUGUGUUUUGUAAUCAUAGAAUACAUUCAAAUUUUGUUCUGUGAAGUUAAUCAUUUGACUAGUUUACCACUCUGAACACUAGGAAUUGAUAAAAUCACCAAACGGACCAGGGGCAGCCCUUGCUAACUGUGUGAUCACAGCAAGCUCUUAAAAUUCCCUGUGCUGCAGUUUCAUCAUCUGUAAAAUGAGGAAACGGGCUUAUGAGAUUGUGUGAUGAUUAGAAUAGUACCAGGAAUAGGUGAACACAAUUUUUAUUAUAUGUAGAUAUUGAGUGGACCUGAUUGCAAGGUAGCAUGAAGAGAACCAGCAAGUGUUAACUCUUUUAUUUGUAUCCAUAUUAAUAACUUUCUUUUAAAGACAAUCAAUUGGAAAUAUUCAUCAUGAAGGCAAGUUAAUUAAGAAGUUCAGAUCAUUUAUUCCAGACACAGAUAUAGAGAUGGCGGGUGUGGCAGUGGUUGGUUCCUGAACUGCAGAACGAAAGGAACAAAGCUGUGCCACCCACCCCAAGCAGAGAGCUCAGGCUGGAGCUCAGACCACAGACCCCUUCCUUCAACAUGUAUCUGUGACACAAGUAAACACACGAAAGCAAGUGUCAGUCUGUGCCCUUCAGAACCAGAGGCAGAGUGAUCUGCAUUGCCCACACAUUUCCUUGGCUAGAGCAGUGUUUAUACUGAAUUUCUGUACCAUGCACAGUGGGGACAUGAAACUCCACAUACUCCCACUAUCAGAAUUACAGUUUAAAAAGCACAGCAACUGGCAUCAAAGCUCACAUUUUAAGUGGGAACUGAGCGCUAUAUAACAAUCAGUACAGUCAGAGGAUGCGGCAGUCCCGCAGAAGAAGGGUGUGUGGCCAGAAGUGACAACCUGGCCACUCACAGCUCCACUAGUAGACACAGGCGGUGUCUUCACAAAGGAUCACAGGGACCCAAGUUUGAUAAAAAUUAGAUAAAAUCUAACAAGUCAGUAAUUAAUUAAUUCUCUAUAAGAGGCAAACUGUGAGGUAGGGCAAUGGAGAUUACAGGAACGUGACUUGACGUAACUACUUAAGUGCUGUUAGAAAAUGCCCCGGGGCCUCUUUGAACCAGAUUUAAGUUUGUAACUAUGGACAAGGACCUGCUUCACCACCGGCGGGGGUGGCACGUAAUGUGCCUGUGGAAAUCCCAGCAGGACCAUCUACAAGCCUGAUGAGGAACUGAUGCCUUUCUCCCCAGG